AAUGAGGGAACUGGUUUUCCAUCUAUGCAAGAGGUUCCAGUUGAGACAGGGGAAGAGAAUGAGAGAGUAGUUUUCUCUGCUGAUUCAAUUUUAUUCGAGUUUUUUAAUGGUGCCUGGAAGGAGCGCGGAAAGGGGGAACUCAAGGUGAAUGUCUCUACUGCUGGGACAGAAAGAGCCAGACUCCUUAUGAGAGCUAGGGGUAAUUACAGGUUAAUUCUGAAUGCAAGUCUUUACCCUGACAUGAAGCUCACAAACAUGGACAAGCGAGGUGUCACUUUUGCUUGCAUGAAUAGUACUGGUGAAAGUAAGGAUGGUCUUUCUACAUUUGCACUGAAGUUCAAGGAUGCCUCCAUAGUAGAAGAGUUCCGAGCAGCUGUAGCAGCAAAUAAAGUUAAAACGGCUACAGAUCUAAAGACACCAGAGAAUUCACCCAAGGCUUCGGAUGAGUGAAAGGAUCGCUGCAUCAAUACACAGAAUUCUUGUCCUUGGGCUGCUGUUUCCUUUUCUUUGCGGCAAAAGAGAAGAGCCUUGUUUUGGAGUCAUGCUUGAGACCUAUGUAGCAGAUCCUUUUUUAUUAUUUAACUUCAGUCUAGCCCUCAGGAGAAUGUUAUUAGUUUU
RNAcentral lists this unclassified non-coding RNA (618 nucleotides) under Hevea brasiliensis (rubber tree). Lineage: Eukaryota; Viridiplantae; Streptophyta; Magnoliopsida; Malpighiales; Euphorbiaceae. The record is from RNAcentral.